AAGCUCAGAAAGAGAAAAUGCACGAGUUCGCCGACCGUAUCGGGUGGAAGUUUCAGAAGCGCGACGAGGACGACGUGCGCGACUUCUGCCGGGAGGUUGGAGUCGAUAAAGGCGUACUCAAGGUGUGGAUGCACAAUAACAAAAACACCUUCAACAACCGCCGCGACCAGCCAGUCGCUGGCGGAACCACCGUACAUUGCGUUGACAACGGCGUCGCAGUUAACAACGCCGAAGAUGAUGGCGUUCACGGUGGAAACGGUUUAGAGCACAACCUACACGGCGAUGGAGCUGAAGGCGUCUGCGGUUGCCACCGUAACUUCCACCGCCGCGACCCCGAUGACUCCUCCCUCGCUUCCGCCGUGCCUCCACCGUCUCUCCCUCCAUCCUCCACCACCGCUGCACUCGAGUACCAGCCUCACCACCGUCACCACCCGCCUCCACCAGGUCCUCAUCUCCCUCGCAGCCCUACUUCCUCUUCUCCACCUCCUAUCUCCUCCUCUUACAUGCUCCUCGCUCUCUCCGGCACCAAUAAACCCGGCGGAAACAGCUUACCGUUCUCAGAUCUCAACUUCGCCGCCAACAACCUCUCCACUCACCACCUUACCCCAGGCUCUCGGAAGCGUUUCAGGACGAAGUUCAGCCAAGCUCAGAAAGAGAAAAUGCACGAGUUCGCCGACCGUAUCGGGUGGAAGUUUCAGAAGCGCGACGAGGACGACGUGCGCGACUUCUGCCGGGAGGUUGGAGUCGAUAAAGGCGUACUCAAGGUGUGGAUGCACAAUAACAAAAACACCUUCAACAACCGCCGCGACCAGCCAGUCGCUGGCGGAACCACCGUACAUUGCGUUGACAACGGCGUCGCAGUUAACAACGCCGAAGAUGAUGGCGUUCACGGUGGAAACGGUUUAGAGCACAACCUACACGGCGAUGGAGCUGACGGCGUAAACGCUAAUGGCUCGUCUUCUUCUUCGGGAAAGAGCAAUAAUGAAGCUUAAGCUUUGUUUAGCUUAGAUCAUAGAGAGUAAGCACUGCUAUUAUCAUCUUAAUACGUUUAUUAUAUUAAUUA
Molecule: long non-coding RNA, 1063 nt
Filed under: Brassica napus (rape)
Lineage: Eukaryota; Viridiplantae; Streptophyta; Magnoliopsida; Brassicales; Brassicaceae
Description: long non-coding RNA (BNAP_LNC025134)
Source: RNAcentral